GUGAUUUCGUAAUUCGCACGAGGACAGAGAUUCAACAUUCAAGGUGAAAGAAGCGUUGGAUUCAGUAAGCUUGGAAAAAUGUGUAUGUUUGCUCGUAAAAUUGAAGUAUUCUCACACUGUUUUCUCGAAGAGAUAUCAUUGAAUCUCACUCGAGGUUACCAGGGAAAAAGGCAGUAUGAUUUCAUACUCAGGCAGAGAGAAAAUUAAGAAGUAACAAACUAGAUGAUGCAAACACGAUAUCACUCACCCAUGGCAUGUUGUGAAGAAGUUGUGUUUUUUGAUUUUGUUCUCAGGCGUCUUCAGAAUUGAUCCCUGAGAGAGGAUGGACAAGGAUUGGGAAACAAACGAAUGUUUAGAAAUCUGGAACAUCAUAAGGCAAAAGCUGAUUUUUAAUGGUGAAAGAUGUCAUGAUGAAAUGAUCACUGAAUCCAAAAAAUGGUUGAAGCUGAUAGUUUACCAACUUGUGAAGAUAGAAGAUCAAGAAUUUUCUUGUAACUGCAUUACUUUAAUAAAAGUUUUUUUUACCU
Dendronephthya gigantea is the source of this 527-nucleotide long non-coding RNA. RefSeq lists it as uncharacterized. Lineage: Eukaryota; Metazoa; Cnidaria; Anthozoa; Malacalcyonacea; Nephtheidae. The record is from RefSeq and is a predicted model, not a curated record. The transcript has 5 exons.